GUAAGGAAUAUUGGUCAAUGGACGAAAGUCUGAACCAGUCAUGCCGCGUGAAGGAUGAAGGCCCUCUGGGUUGUAAACUUCUUUUAUCUGGGACGAAAAAAGGGUAUUCUUACUCACUUGACGGUACCAGAGGAAUAAGCACCGGCUAACUCCGUGCCAGCAGCCGCGGUAAUACGGAGGGUGCAAGCGUUAUCCGGAUUCACUGGGUUUAAAGGGUGCGUAGGUGGGUAUUUAAGUCAGUGGUGAAAUCUCCGAGCUUAACUCGGAAACUGCCAUUGAUACUAUUUACCUUGAAUGCCCUGGAGGUAAGCGGAAUAUGUCAUGUAGCGGUGAAAUGCUUAGAUAUGACAUAGAAAACCAAUUGCGAAGGCAGCUCACUAAGCUGUUACUGACGCUGAGGCACGAAAGCGUGGGGAGCAAACAGGAUUAGAAACCCCUGUAGUCC
This 445-nucleotide ribosomal RNA is filed under the name uncultured bacterium. RNAcentral describes it as "partial 16S ribosomal RNA". It matches the Rfam family "Bacterial small subunit ribosomal RNA", at positions 354 to 796 of the family's 1533-position model. The record is from RNAcentral.